This 433-nucleotide ribosomal RNA is filed under the name uncultured bacterium. Its description in RNAcentral is "partial 16S ribosomal RNA". It matches the Rfam family "Bacterial small subunit ribosomal RNA", at positions 29 to 507 of the family's 1533-position model. The record is from RNAcentral.
AACGAACGCUGGCGGCAUGCCUAACACAUGCAAGUCGAACGAGACCUUCGGGUCUAGUGGCGCACGGGUGCGUAACGCGUGGGAACCUGCCUUUAGGUUCGGAAUAAUUCAGAGAAAUUUGAGCUAAUACCGGAUGAUGUCUUCGGACCAAAGAUUUAUCGCCUUUAGAUGGGCCCGCGUUGGAUUAGCUAGUUGGUGGGGUAAAGGCCUACCAAGGCGACGAUCCAUAGCUGGUCUGAGAGGAUGAUCAGCCACACUGGGACUGAGACACGGCCCAGACUCCUACGGGAGGCAGCAGUGGGGAAUAUUGGACAAUGGGCGAAAGCCUGAUCCAGCAAUGCCGCGUGAGUGAUGAAGGCCUUAGGGUUGUAAAGCUCUUUUACCCGAGAUGAUAAUGACAGUAUCGGGAGAAUAAGCUCCGGCUAACUCCGUG